This 323-nucleotide ribosomal RNA is filed under the name uncultured amoeba. RNAcentral describes it as "partial 18S ribosomal RNA". It matches the Rfam family "Eukaryotic small subunit ribosomal RNA", at positions 864 to 1191 of the family's 1831-position model. The record is from RNAcentral.
UUUGUAWAAWUAKAAAAUAAUAAGAACAGUUGGGGGWUUUAGUAUUUAGUUGUCAGAGGWGAAAUUCUAGGAUUUACUAAAGACUGACCAAUGCGAAAGCAUUUGCCAAGGAUGUUUUCAUUAAUCAAGAACGAAAGUAGGGGGAUCGAAGACGAUCAGAUACCGUCGUAGUCUCUACCGUAAACUAUGCCGACCAGGGAUCCGGAGAGUUUGCAUGGAUGACUCCCCGGGCACCUUGUGAGCUUCAUAAGUGUUUGGGUUUUGGGGGGAGUAUGGUCGCAAGGCUGAAACUAAAGGAAUGACGAAGGCCCCCCCCGAUUGGC